GCCAGGCAUGGUGGCGCAUGUCUGUAAUCCCAGCUACUUGGGAGGCUGAGGCAGGGGGAUCACUUGAACCCAGGAGGCAGAGGUUGCAGUGAGCCCAGAUCAUGCCAUUGCACUCCAGCCUGGGUGACAGAGUGAGACUCCGUCUCAA
Unclassified non-coding RNA from Macaca fascicularis (crab-eating macaque), 148 nucleotides. It matches the Rfam family "Metazoan signal recognition particle RNA". Rfam says of the family: The signal recognition particle (SRP) is a universally conserved ribonucleoprotein. It is involved in the co-translational targeting of proteins to membranes. Lineage: Eukaryota; Metazoa; Chordata; Mammalia; Primates; Cercopithecidae. The record is from Ensembl.